AGCUUAUGAUGAUGGUAUAAACCUUAAAAUUUCCUUAAAUCCCUCUCAUGUUUCAUAAAGAGAUUUACAUUCCUCCUGAGUAAAACUUGUAAUCUUAUUUUUUAAAUG
This is a small nucleolar RNA of Lathyrus oleraceus (garden pea), 108 nucleotides long. The record is from RefSeq and is a predicted model, not a curated record. NCBI's taxonomy places the organism in Eukaryota, Viridiplantae, Streptophyta, Magnoliopsida, Fabales, Fabaceae.